GUAGGUGAACCUGCGGAAGGAUCAUUACAAGUGAGGCUCCAAACGCUGGAAACAGCGGUCAGGAGCUUACACCCACCCGUGUCUACAUACUAUUGUUGCUUUGGCGGGCCGUGGCCUCCACUGCGGGCUCCGCUCGUGUGUGCCCGCCAGAGAACCAAACUCUGAAUGCUAGUGAUGUCUGAGUACUAUCUAAUAGUUAAAACUUUCAACAACGGAUCUCUUGGUUCUG
Molecule: unclassified non-coding RNA, 229 nt
Filed under: rhizosphere metagenome
Description: partial ribosomal RNA internal transcribed spacer region
Source: RNAcentral